RNAcentral lists this ribosomal RNA (244 nucleotides) under uncultured Sanguibacter sp. Its description in RNAcentral is "partial 16S ribosomal RNA". It matches the Rfam family "Bacterial small subunit ribosomal RNA", at positions 94 to 339 of the family's 1533-position model. The record is from RNAcentral. Lineage: Bacteria; Bacillati; Actinomycetota; Actinomycetes; Micrococcales; Sanguibacteraceae.
AGUGGCGAACGGGUGAGUAACACGUGAGUAACCUGCCCUUGACUCUGGGAUAACUCCGGGAAACCGGGGUUAAUACCGGAUACGAGACGCGACCGCAUGGUCGGCGUCUGGAAAGUUUUUCGGUCAAGGAUGGACUCGCGGCCUAUCAGCUUGUUGGUGAGGUAAUGGCUCACCAAGGCGUCGACGGGUAGCCGGCCUGAGAGGGCGACCGGCCACACUGGGACUGAGACACGGCCCAGACUCC